RNAcentral lists this ribosomal RNA (481 nucleotides) under uncultured bacterium. Its description in RNAcentral is "partial 16S ribosomal RNA". It matches the Rfam family "Bacterial small subunit ribosomal RNA", at positions 28 to 507 of the family's 1533-position model. The record is from RNAcentral.
GACGAACGUUGGCGGCGUGCUUAAUACAUGCAAGUCAACUGAAGCAGUGGUAGCAAUAUCGCUGUGGAGGUGGCGCACGGGGGAGUAACACGUAGGUAAUCUGCCUUCAGGUCUGGCAUAACUCCGGGAAACCGGGGCUAAUAGCAGAUGAUGCAGCGGCUCGACAUCGAGACAGUUGUUAAAGCUAGGGCGCCGGAAGAUGAGCCGGCGUCUGAUUAGCUAGUUGGCGGGGUAACGGCCCACCAAGGCAACGAUCAGUAGCUGGUCUGAGAGGAUGAUCAGCCACACUGGAACUGAGACACGGUCCAGACUCCUACGGGAGGCAGCAGUAAGGAAUAUUGCUCAAUGGGAGAAAUCCUGAAGCAGCAACGCCGCGUGAGGGACGAAGGGCUUUUGCUUGUAAACCUCUGUAGUGAGAGAAAAAAAUCCCAAUCUUUGGGACAUGAUGGUAUCUCAAAAGUAAGCCCCGGCUAACUACGUG